This is a non-coding RNA of Callithrix jacchus (white-tufted-ear marmoset), 3429 nucleotides long. Lineage: Eukaryota; Metazoa; Chordata; Mammalia; Primates; Cebidae. The record is from RefSeq and is a predicted model, not a curated record.
UCUAGAGAUGCAGAUCCCUCCUCCAGUUUCGACUUUGGUACCCGCCUCAGACUGAAGUAGGCGCACCUGCUAUGUGAUCGUCCUUCUAUUCUAGCACCCGUAUAACCAAUGAGCUGUCCCCAGACCCUACUGAAAUAAUGGUAAAACAAUAAGGAGAACAUAAGCGAAAACAAUACAUGAAGAUAUGCAAAAACAUUUUGGAAGAAAGAAAACUGACUAGGGUCUGAGGAAGUUGGAACAGUGCAAAUAACAACAGUUGACUCGGAACCACUAAAAGCUUAGGACUGGGAGCAUCAAGCUUUGCAAAGGUAGGGGUGGAAGGAGGGGGCUGGAAAUGAAGGGUGAGUUUAAAGUCGACAUAAGGAGCAGUUAGACCCCAUGUUCCCUCCUCCAGCCUGGUCAGCUGAGUGAUUGCCUCUCUCCCAUCCCCCACCAAAAAAGGCAGGAGGUGCAUGGACUGUCUCCUGAGAAUGAACCAGUGAGGCCCUGGGCUUCAGUUCCGCAGCCGGCUGAGGGUGGAGAGCGAGAGAAACUGCAGCUUCUUUCUCCUGGCUCUAGAGCACUGGCAGCCAGGUUCAUGCUCCCCAGGCCGGAGGCUGCAGGAUUCUUCUCUGGGAGAACUGAGCAGUCUAAAAGUUCUCUGGGUAUUGAGAGUUCUCAACACAAUAGUUGUCUCUGCCACCUCACCCUGCAGGGAAGAUGCCAAUCAACGAGUCCUAGAGAGCAUUCAGUUGGCCUUUAAGUGCCUCUGCUAAAAUAUGAAGACCAGGAUUUGAGGGAAGUCUCUUUCAUGAAAGACAGAAGCCAAAAUAAAGACGCCAAUGGUGGUGGGAAGGAAAGCAGGUACAAUGCAGGGAAUAUAAAAAUAUAAGUUACGGCCGGGUGUGGUGGCUCACACCUGUAAUCCCAGCACUUUGGGAGGCCGAGGUGGGUGGAUCAUGAGAUCAGGAUUUGGAGACCAGCCUGACCAACAUGGUGAAAACUCAUCUCUAAAAUACAAAAAAUUAGCUGGGCAUGGGUGGUAUGUGCCUGUAAUCCCAGGUACUCAGGAGGCUGAGGCAGGAGAAUCACUUCAACUUGGAAGAAGGAGGUUGCAGUGAGCCAAGAUGGCACCAUUGCACUCCAGCCUGGAGCCUGGGUAUCUCAAAAAUAUAUAUAUAUAUGUGUGUGUGUGUGUGUGUGUGUGUGUGUGUGUGUGUGUGUGUGUAUAGUUACAUAUACAAUUUAUGUAACUAGACUACUAACAAUGUAAUGAUAUAACUUAUUAAGAAUGAUCGGGGGGAACGAUCCAAGAUGGCCGAUCGCUAACAUCCCGGGAUUGCAGCUCUCAGGGAAAGCGCAGAGAACUAGAGGACACCACACUUUCAGACAAAUUCUGGUCGCUCACGGAGCAGAAGAUCCCCCAGUGGAGGAAACAUACGGGUGGCCAGCACGACUCUCGUGGCCAGCGCAGCGGUUCCUCCGGCACCUCGGCGCGGCAGCUCUCAGAGCAGAGUAAACAGGUUUGGAGGACCCGCACGGGCCCCCAGCAGGACACCAGAGCCUGGCACAGCAGCUGUGAUGGCACCUUGGCGCGGCAGCGCUCAGUGCAGAGUAAACGGGACCGGUUCCCCUUCUGACCGAGGUUUGGAGCCCCGGGAAGGCAGAGUCGCCUACUACGGACACAAGAAGGAAGCCAGACAGGAGAAUCCUGGGCAGAAAAGCACCAUCAGUUUUAACGCCGCUGCUCUGGCCCUGGGAACUAACAACCUGGAAGUCCACUCAAGAGACCUAAUCUGAAAGUUGGUAAAUUCAAAGACGACAGGAGGAUAAAUUUACAAUGACGGGAAGAAACCAGCGUAAAAAAGCUGAGAAUACUCAAAGUCAGAACGCCUCUCCCUCUAAAGAUGAUCACAGUUCCACAUCAACAAUGGAACAAGGCUUGAUGGAGAACGAGCGCAUCCUGAUGACAGAAUCACUCUUCAAGGAAUGGAUAAUAACAAACUUCGGUGAGUUAAAAGAACAUGUUGUAGCCCAACGUAAAGAAACUAGGAACUUUGAAAAAAAGUUUGAUGAAAUCCUAUUGAGAAUAGACAACUUAGAGAGGAGUAUGAGUGAAAUAAUGGAACUGAAGAAUACAAUACAGGAACUCUGAGAAGUAUGCACAGGUUUAAACACUCGAAUUGUUCAAGCAGAAGAAGGGAUAUCAGAGGUCAAAGUCCAACUUAAUGAAAUAAAACGCGAAGAAAAGAUUAGAGAAAAAAGGAUAAAAAGGAAUGAGCAAAGUCUCCAAGAAAUGUGGGACUAUGUGAAAAGACCAAAUUUACGUUUGAUAGGUGUACCUGAAUGCGAAGGAGAGAAUGAAUCCAAGCUGGAAAAUACCCUUCAGGAUAUUAUUCGGGAAAAUUUUCCUAAACUAGCAAAGCAGGUCAACAUUCAACCCCAGGUAAUACAGAGAACACCACAAAGAUAUUCCUCAAGAAGAGCAACCCCAAGGCACAUAAUCGUUAGAUUCACCAGGGUUGAAACGAAGGAGAAAAUACUAAGGGCAGCCAGAGAGAGAGGUCAGGUUACCCACAAAGGCAAGCCUAUCAGACUUACAGCAGAUCUCUCAGCAGAAACUCUACAAGCCAGAAGAGAGUGGGGGCCGAUAUCCAACAUCCUCAAAGAACAGAACCUUCAGCCCAGAAUUUCAUAUCCAGCCAAACUAAGCUUCAUAACUGAAGGAAAAAUAAAAUCUUUUAUGAACAAGCAAGAACUCAGAGAGUUUAUUACCACCAGGCCUGCUUUACAAGAGCUUCUGAAAGAAGCAUUACACACAGAAAGAAACAACCAGUAUUAGCCUUUCUAAAAAUACACCAAAAAGUAAAGAGCACCAACAUAAAGAAGAAUUUACACCAACAAAUGGAUAAAACAGCCGGUCAACAUCAAAUGGCAGUAACCCUAAAUAUAAAUUGACUAAAUCCCCCAAUCAAAAGACACAGCCAAAACCCAAUGGCAUAUUACAUCCAGACCUGUUUCACAUGCAGGGAUACACAAAAACUCAAAACAAAGGGAUGGAGAAAGAUUUACCAACCAAAUGGAGAGCAAAAAUAAAUAAUAAAUAAAUAAAAAGCAGAGUUGCAAUUCUCGUAUUGGAUAAAAUAGAUUUUAAAGCAACAAAGAUAUAGUGGUAAAAGGAUCAAUGCAACAACAAGAACUAACGAUCCUAACACCCAGAUACGAGACUUAGAUUCAAUGAGACAGAAAAUUAAUAAGGAUAUCAAGGACUCGAACUCAGAUCCGGAACAAGUAAACUUAAUAAAUAUUUAUAGAGCUCUCCACUUCAAAUACACAAAAUAUACAUUAUUGUCAAUACCACAUCACACCUACCCAUAAGUUUAAAUGAAACAUUGAUUGGCCAUUAUUAAUACCCAAGUUUUUUCAAAAUAAAGCAAUAUUUCCAUUUAC